UGGGGAAUAUUGGACAAUGGGGGAAACCCUGAUGCAGCGACGCCGCGUGAACGAAGAAGGUAUUCGUAUCGUGAAGUUCUGUCCUAUGGGAAGAUAAUGACAGUACCAUAGAAGAAAGCUCCGGCUAAAUACGUGCCAGCAGCCGCGGUAAUACGUAUGGAGCGAGCGUUGUCCGGAAUUAUUGGGCGUAAAGGGUACGCAGGCGGUUUAAUAAGUCGAAUGUUAAAGAUCGGGGCUCAACCCCGUAAAGCAUUGGAAACUGAUAAACUUGAGUAGUGGAGAGGAAAGUGGAAUUCCUAGUGUAGUGGUGAAAUACGUAGAUAUUAGGAGGAAUACCAGUAGCGAAGGCGACUUUCUGGACACAAACUGACGCUGAGGUACGAAAGCGUGGGGAGCAAACAGG
RNAcentral lists this ribosomal RNA (403 nucleotides) under bacterium. RNAcentral describes it as "partial 16S ribosomal RNA". It matches the Rfam family "Bacterial small subunit ribosomal RNA", at positions 355 to 776 of the family's 1533-position model. The record is from RNAcentral.